This is a long non-coding RNA of Quercus robur (English oak), 758 nucleotides long. RefSeq lists it as uncharacterized. The record is from RefSeq and is a predicted model, not a curated record. The transcript is spliced from 3 exons. NCBI's taxonomy places the organism in Eukaryota, Viridiplantae, Streptophyta, Magnoliopsida, Fagales, Fagaceae.
UGAUUGGGUUAUAUUGUGAUACUUGAAUUUUCGUUUGGAAUUAAGGUUUACUUGACUUGAGUACUAAUAACAAAAGCAAAAAAUUCAAAGCCAGAGAACAUUGUAACGCCCCAGCCCAUUUGAAAAAUAAAAAUAGGGGUCAGAUUUUUAGAAGCCCACACGUGACCCACCUCCUCUCAAGUCUGAACCACACAUCCCUCUAUCUCUCUCACUCUCCCACCGGUGCAUCACACCGCCACUCCCUCCACCAUUACUUUCCGGUGGGAUUCACCAGAAAACUCCAUAGCAACCUCUAAGUCUCCUCCGUUAUCUCAAAUUUUAAAGGUUCCAAGAUUCUUGGUGAUGGACCUAGUGAUUGGAUUGGUUGAUUACGAGGUGCCCGUUUGAGGUAAAAUCAGUUGGUCUUCUGAGGUCAUGACAGACACUUCCAUAAAGCUGUGCCUUCAGACAGUUAGCUUGAAGAAAAAAACCCAUCCUUCUGGAGAGGACUUCAUAUCUUCACUUCCGCCACCAAAUCCAAAGUCUCAAAGAAAGAUAUAGUCUUAUCAAGCCCAACGCAGUGAGUUUGUUGCAUCUGAUGAUGAAAGUUGGAUUAUAUUGGACAUAUGAAUGUGUUAAUAUAUGCCUAAUGUUAAGAUAAACAGAAUGCCCCUCACGAUCGUUUUCUGUAAUGCAUCCUUUUUCACUUUUUAUAGAUUCGCUCCGAAUGAUGAAUUUUUACGUUCAAUUGUUAUGAAAAUAAAUAAAAGUUAAAUUUA